GAUGAACGCUGGCGGCGUGCCUAAUACAUGCAAGUCGAGCGAACGGACGAGAAGCUUGCUUCUCUGAUGUUAGCGGCGGACGGGUGUGUCACACGUGGAUAACCUACCUAUAAGUCUGGGAUCACUUCGGGAAACCGGCGCUAAUACCGGAGAAUAUUUUGAACCGCAUGGUUCAAAAGUGAAAUACGGUCUUGCUGUCACUUAUAGAUGGAUCUGGGCUGCAUUAGCUAGUUGGUAAGGUAACGGCUUACCAAGGCAACGAUGCAUAGCCGACGUGAGAGGGGGAUAGGCGACACGGGAACUGGAACACGGUCAUGACUCCUACGGGAGGCAGCAGUAGGGAAUGGUAGGCAAUGGGCGGAAGCCUGACGGAGCAACGCGACGUGAGUGAUGAAGGUGUUCGGAGCGGAAUACUCUGUUAUUAGGGAAGAACAUAUGUGUAAGGAAAUGUGCACAGCUUGACGGUACCGGAUCAGAAAGCCACGGCUAACUACGUG
This 497-nucleotide ribosomal RNA is filed under the name uncultured bacterium. Its description in RNAcentral is "partial 16S ribosomal RNA". It matches the Rfam family "Bacterial small subunit ribosomal RNA", at positions 28 to 507 of the family's 1533-position model. The record is from RNAcentral.